AUUGAACGCUGGCGGCAGGCCUAACACAUGCAAGUCGAACGAGUGGCGGACGGGUGAGUAAUGUCUGGGAAACUGCCCGAUGGAGGGGGAUAACUACUGGAAACGGUAGCUAAUACCGCAUACCAUCGGAUGUGCCCAGAUGGGAUUAGCUUGUAGGUGAGGUAACGGGUCACCUAGGCGACGAUCCCUAGCUGGUCUGCGAGGAUGAACAGGCACACUGGGACUGAGACACGGUCCAGAGUCCAGAGGAAAGCAGCAGUGGGGAAUAUGGAACAGUAGGCGCAAGACUGAUGCAGCCAGAGCGAGUAUAUGAAGAAAGCAUUCAGGUGGGAAAGUACUUUCAGCAGGGAGGCGUUACCUGCAGGAGAAGCACCGGCUAACUCCGUGCCAGCAGCCGCGGUAAAAC
RNAcentral lists this ribosomal RNA (406 nucleotides) under uncultured bacterium. Its description in RNAcentral is "partial 16S ribosomal RNA". It matches the Rfam family "Bacterial small subunit ribosomal RNA", at positions 29 to 526 of the family's 1533-position model. The record is from RNAcentral.